AUGAAACACGGAGCAAUCUGUGGCUUAUAGAUGGGCCUGCGGCGCAUUAGCUAGUUGGUAGGGUAACGGCCUACCAAGGCGACGAUGCGUAGCCGACCUGAGAGGGUGAACGGCCACACUGGGACUGAGACACGGCCCAGACUCCUACGGGAGGCAGCAGUAGGGAAUCUUCCGCAAUGGACGCAAGUCUGACGGAGCAACGCCGCGUGAGUGAUGAAGGUUUUCGGAUCGUAAAGCUCUGUUGCCCUAGACGAACAGCAAGGCGAGUAACUGCGCUUUGUGUGACGGUAUAGGAGAAGAAAGCCCCGGCUAACUACGUGCCAGCAGCCGCGGUAAUACGUAGGGGGCAAGCGUUGUCCGGAAUUAUUGGGCGUAAAGCGCGCGCAGGCGGUUAAUUAAGUUGGGUGUUUAAGCCCGGGGCUCAACCCCGGUUCGCAUCCAAAACUGGUUGACUUGAGUGUAGGAGAGGAAAGUGGAAUUCCACGUGUAGCGGUGAAAUGCGUAGAGAUGUGGAGGAACACCAGUGGCGAAGGCGGACUUUCUGGCCUAUAACUGACGCUGAGGCGCGAAAGCGUGGGGAGCAAACAGG
RNAcentral lists this ribosomal RNA (589 nucleotides) under Paenibacillus sp. Its description in RNAcentral is "bacterial SSU rRNA". It matches the Rfam family "Bacterial small subunit ribosomal RNA", at positions 200 to 776 of the family's 1533-position model. Lineage: Bacteria; Bacillati; Bacillota; Bacilli; Caryophanales; Paenibacillaceae. The record is from RNAcentral.